GGAGGCACUGUGAGGAAGGGAUGGAGCCGGAAGUAGGAAGUAGAACAAGAUUCUACUUAUGGGUGGAUGAGAUGGCCCCAGAAAGAAGAGCAGGGAAGGCAACAUAGAACAGGAAAUGGACCAGGCCCCACGGGAGACUGGACAGUUUCCACAUUUGCUGUAGUUCUAGGCAGAGCCAGUCUUCUAAGAAGCAAAGAAUCACUGAAUGGUAAAGAUACUUGGAGGGCCUCUCUACCUUCCCACCCAAAAUACCUUCCCACCGAUCCCUGAUGCAUGAAAUCACACCAUUAAAGAGUGGUUCCUUUGACUGUGAAA
Long non-coding RNA from Homo sapiens (human), 315 nucleotides. NCBI's taxonomy places the organism in Eukaryota, Metazoa, Chordata, Mammalia, Primates, Hominidae. The record is from Ensembl.